AAGUCGUAACAAGGUUUCCGUAGGUGAACCUGCGGAAGGAUCAUUAAUACGCUUUUGUUUGUAACAAAACAAAACGUUGCAAACUCCAAAAUUGAAUAGUGGAAACAUAACUUCCGGAUGCGAAUGUUGGGGAACUGAGUAAAAUUGGUUCUUUGAAAAAGGGACUUCAAGCAAUUGACACUUCAGAGUAGAGCAGUGAGGUGAAACUUUCGUUUAGAGCGAGAGUUUGGUUCUGAAAAACAUUUGUAUCCGGUUAUCUUAAUCUGUUCUACAAACUCCAAAAUAUUAAACAAUAAACCCCAUGUACAACAACUUGAACUAAACAUUUUUUUGUUAUCUGCUUGCACACUUGUUGUGUGAGAAGAUACUACAAAGAAAAAACCUGAACUUAAGAACAACUCUUAACAACGGAUAUCUUGGUUCUC
Molecule: unclassified non-coding RNA, 425 nt
Filed under: fungal sp.
Lineage: Eukaryota; Fungi
Description: partial internal transcribed spacer region
Rfam family: Eukaryotic small subunit ribosomal RNA (bases 1-46)
Source: RNAcentral